This 253-nucleotide ribosomal RNA is filed under the name uncultured bacterium. RNAcentral describes it as "partial 16S ribosomal RNA". It matches the Rfam family "Bacterial small subunit ribosomal RNA", at positions 524 to 776 of the family's 1533-position model. The record is from RNAcentral.
UACAGAGGGUGCGAGCGUUGUUCGGAAUCAUUGGGCGUAAAGCGCUUGUAGGCGGCUUGUUAAGUCGCGUGUGAAAUCCCUUGGCUCAACCAAGGAAGUGCGCGCGAAACUGGCGAGCUCGAGUGCCGGAGAGGGUCGCGGAAUUCCCGGUGUAGAGGUGAAAUUCGUAGAUAUCGGGAGGAACACCGGCGGCGAAGGCGGCGACCUGGGUCGACACUGACGCUGAGGCGCGAAAGCGUGGGGAGCAAACAGG